CCUACCUGAGUCUCCACCGGACACAGCGCGCGGAGCAGAGGCGACAUACACCGCCAAAACACACGCCACCGUCGCUCCCGUCAGUGUCCAAGUCAACUUGUCCGACGACAUUUCAGACGUCUUCGAAGGAAAUGCCUGCUGACUACAGUGCAGAGAAGACACCAGAAAACCACAGUAUUUUAAGAGCAAAGGCAUCAUGCUAAACGUACCUGGAACAUGUCUGUGUCUUUGUCAUGGCUGUACUCCACCACCACCGUCUGGUUUCUGGACAGCGUGUAGGAGAUGCUGUGCUGGCCCUUACAGUUCACCGCCUGUCACAACACAACAGAAG
This is a long non-coding RNA of Onychostoma macrolepis, 331 nucleotides long. RefSeq lists it as uncharacterized. The transcript is spliced from 3 exons. The record is from RefSeq and is a predicted model, not a curated record. Lineage: Eukaryota; Metazoa; Chordata; Actinopteri; Cypriniformes; Cyprinidae.